UCACCCCUCAAGCCUGGCUUGAUGUUGGACGGUUGGUCUUUCGGCUCCCCGACAGACCCCUCCCAAAGAUAACGACGGCGGCCUGUUCACCCCCGGUACACUGAGCUUCUUAACUGAGCACGUAUCGGUCUUUAACGGUGGCGGGACCCGGUCUUCUUCCUUCAUUGGAAAAUCCUUCUCAA
This 182-nucleotide unclassified non-coding RNA is filed under the name uncultured Eurotiomycetes. RNAcentral describes it as "sequence contains ITS2". The record is from RNAcentral. Lineage: Eukaryota; Fungi; Ascomycota; Eurotiomycetes.